This 20-nucleotide microRNA is filed under the name Triticum aestivum (bread wheat). RNAcentral's name for it is "tae-miR9673-5p". The record is from miRBase by way of RNAcentral. Lineage: Eukaryota; Viridiplantae; Streptophyta; Magnoliopsida; Poales; Poaceae.
UAAGAAGCAAAUAGCACAUG